RNAcentral lists this long non-coding RNA (1301 nucleotides) under Trifolium pratense (red clover). RNAcentral's name for it is "long non-coding RNA (TPRA_LNC013897)". Lineage: Eukaryota; Viridiplantae; Streptophyta; Magnoliopsida; Fabales; Fabaceae. The record is from RNAcentral.
AAAACGGAUAAAUCAAAUAUCACUAACUUCAUAAGGGUAAACAAUUAUCCUAUAAUUUAUUCAUUCAAAACAGUACUCCGUACAUAAUACAUGGAAACUUUCACAUAACAUACACAAACGAGAAAGCUAGCAUGUUACAUUGCAUGCCUUAUUAUUAUUACAUCUUAAUUAUAAACUAGUACUCCCUCGGUCCCAAGGGGUACGCUUGCUCCGCGGAUACAUGUUCGACUCGUUUUACUAGCAUCCUUUGCAAGGGGUACGUUGGCUCGGUGGAUCCUUGGAAUGCGGCGAUCUCUUGACAGGUGACGAUCUGUUGACAGGCGGGCUGCCACAUCCCACAAUUAUAGUUGCUCUAGGAUUAUUGCAACGACUUUCUUCAUCUGUAUUAAAUAAAUUAAAGCGAACACAGAUUAGUAAAGUAAUACUCCGACAUUCUUAUGAAAGCAAUUUCCAACACACAUAUAUAUAUAUAUAUAUAGAUAUAUAAAGAGAGAGAGAGAGAGAGAGAGAGAGAGAGAGAUAUCUCACCAAAAAAAUAAAUAAAAGCGAACCCGGAUUAGUAAAGUAAUACUUCGACAAUUCUAUAAACAAAAUUUCCAAUAUAUAUAUAGAGAGAUAUCUGACAUACCAGACAAUUGAUACAAUUGACGUGAAGCUAACGCUGCAUUUGAUGAAAUGUAGNNNNNNNNNNNNNNNNNNNNNNNNNNUAGAGGAGAAGAGUAAAAACAAUUCCAAAUAGGAUGAUAAAAUUCUUGGCAAGUGCCAUGAUAUGAAAGAAAAAUUAGAUAUGUUUAUGUGUUUGUUGGGUGUUUGAAUUGGAGUGAGAUUCAGCUCUAUUUAUAGCCGAGUUUCUAAAUUACUACCAAACUGUCAAGAAGGGUCCAUAUGCUGAGUUUCUUGGAAACUGUCAAGAAGGAAUGAUGUUGGUCUUCUUGGAAACUACCAAAUUAUUAGAUAUGAUGUUGGUCUUCUCCUAGUAGUCUUUGGCAACUUGUGUGUAGAAAAUGUAACAUUAGUAGUAAUUAUAAGAGGAAUGCAUUGACUUGUUUAACUUUGAAAAUGAAAAGAAGAAUUACUCCCAUAGUUGCAUAUGCACUCACAGUAUAGAAAGUUUUUUUUUGUUACAUUAUUGAAAGAUUUUUAAAGAGAAAGAUAAAACUCGGUAUAUUUACUUCGCAAACGAAAAGUUUUUUUUAAAACUCGAUAUCUUGUUCUACGACUGACUAAUUUGAGAGAUCAAUACCACUGUUCACUUGCAGAAACACCAUUUAAAGCUAUUUUUUUUUUACUCUGUAUGAACU